This 284-nucleotide ribosomal RNA is filed under the name Escherichia coli. RNAcentral's name for it is "partial 23S ribosomal RNA". It matches the Rfam family "Bacterial large subunit ribosomal RNA", at positions 1 to 285 of the family's 2925-position model. The record is from RNAcentral. Lineage: Bacteria; Pseudomonadati; Pseudomonadota; Gammaproteobacteria; Enterobacterales; Enterobacteriaceae.
GGUUAAGCGACUAAGCGUACACGGUGGAUGCCCUGGCAGUCAGAGGCGAUGAAGGACGUGCUAAUCUGCGAUAAGCGUCGGUAAGGUGAUAUGAACCGUUAUAACCGGCGAUUUCCGAAUGGGGAAACCCAGUGUGUUUCGACACACUAUCAUUAACUGAAUCCAUAGGUUAAUGAGGCGAACCGGGGGAACUGAAACAUCUAAGUACCCCGAGGAAAAGAAAUCAACCGAGAUUCCCCCAGUAGCGGCGAGCGAACGGGGAGGAGCCCAGAGCCUGAAUCAGU